UGUCAGGUCAUGGGUGCUGUGCCUCAGUAUCACCAGGGUGCUGUCAGGACCAGGGACAGAUCAGGAGGUGAAGGAAAUGUUUGCUUCAUGAGAAAAUGAGAGGGGGCUGCAAACUCCAAGACCCAGGAAUGCCUCUCCAUGGCUUCACACAUAUGUCCUACGGGUGGAGAUGGGGCUUGCUGAAGCAGGUUACUCCAAAGCACCUGCCACCUCAAGGGGUCAUGGUCUCCACACAAGACAUGAGCUCCAGAGAGCAUGUGGUCAGUAGUCCCUCCAGCCAUGCAGAUCCUGCCACUGAUCAAAGGACAGCCCCGUGGUGAGAGCUGUGGCCUGAGGCAGACUGAGCUAUGAAACCGUGACAAGUGCAUGGAGCAGCUAUUUGAGCACCAGGAAAGGAAACGAUACGCAGCAGUUUGGGAUGACCCCAGCAGAUGAAAUACAACAGAGUCAGUGUGAGACUCCUGGAUUUCCUCGGUGUCCCCUGGCUGGGAUCCAGACAGGCCAAACCUGAAGGGGCACAAAUCUGAAAACGGAAAGAAGUCCAGGAAAUCAAGAGCCAUGAUUUGGCAGCUUCCCCAGGAGAGAGUCCGGAAAGACCAGGGACAAUGAAAGUGGAGGAGCAGCCAGGAAAGGAGAAGCCACUGUGUCUGCAGGACAGGGGCUCCCAGAGCAAAGGGGAGAUAAAGGGGACACCUGUGACCUCAGGGAGGACACUGCACAUGGCAGGGACACCAUUUUAGCACAACUGGGUGUGUGAGGAGAGGGCACUGUGAGAAGUCAAGUGCCUGGAGCUGUGGCAGAGAAAGAGGCAGCAUCUGCAAGAGCUGAAGACCCUUUCAUUCCAGGUGUGAGAUCAUGGUCACUGGCUCCUGCUGCAUGUCAGCGUCUCCCUGUCACCCAGGCCCGCCCCAUCGCCAGGUGGCUUUGCCAGGUAACUCUCUGCUUCCCCCUGGUGGCCGCUCCACACUGUGGGCUGGGGGCUCAGGGACUUCCUGGGUCUAGGUGUGGAUUCAGAACCUGCUGUUCAGGUCCCUGAUGCCCUGAUCCGAGGACUGCUGGUCCCAGGGGAGGAACACCUCUUCUCUGUGUGGCCCCUGCCUGACUCAAGAUCAGGUACAAGGGGCUCAGCUUACCCAAUAAAAUACAAAAGUA
RNAcentral lists this long non-coding RNA (1152 nucleotides) under Homo sapiens (human). Its description in RNAcentral is "HSALNT0405096". The record is from RNAcentral. Lineage: Eukaryota; Metazoa; Chordata; Mammalia; Primates; Hominidae.